This 468-nucleotide ribosomal RNA is filed under the name uncultured bacterium. Its description in RNAcentral is "partial 16S ribosomal RNA". It matches the Rfam family "Bacterial small subunit ribosomal RNA", at positions 28 to 507 of the family's 1533-position model. The record is from RNAcentral.
GACGAACGCUGGCGGUGUGCUUAACACAUGCAAGUCGAACGGAAAGGCCCUGCUUUUGUGGGGUGCUCGAGUGGCGAACGGGUGAGUAACACGUGAGUAACCUGCCCUUGACUUUGGGAUAACUUCAGGAAACUGGGGCUAAUACCGGAUAGGAGCUCCGGCUGCAUGGUGGGGGUUGGAAAGUUUCGGCGGUUGGGGAUGGACUCGCGGCUUAUCAGCUGGUUGGUGGGGUAGUGGCUUACCAAGGCUUUGACGGGUAGCCGGCCUGAGAGGGUGACCGGCCACAUUGGGACUGAGAUACGGCCCAGACUCCUACGGGAGGCAGCAGUGGGGAAUAUUGCACAAUGGGCGGAAGCCUGAUGCAGCAACGCCGCGUGCGGGAUGACGGCCUUCGGGUUGUAAACCGCUUUCGCCUGUGACGAAGCGUGAGUGACGGUAAUGGGUAAAGAAGCACCGGCUAACUACGUG